AGCCCGGGCUAUUUGCCACUUGAAUGUGAAAGGAAUCUCAGACACCCCGUCCCCCUGUGGAGCGUGUUGCUGGAAGUGCUCUUCUGUUGGGUCCAUUUCUGUUGACUGACUGCACUGUCACCGAGUAUAGAACACACGAGAUGAAACGGUGGCUGAGGCGUGAUCCUGAACCUCAGGAGACUGCAGGUGGAACAUGGGAGUUACUUUCUCCUGUUUGCUCCUCAUUCUGUUGGCUGUAUGUUUGUCCCAUGUUGGUGCCAAAAGACUGGAAGAGGCGCUGGGAAUCGUUGCCGCAGGGUCUGGGGGGCAGAGAGGGCGUAGGGGAGCCUCGGGGAUGCGCUCACCAGGUGGGGCUCCUCCCUUCACUGACUGGACGGCUGCGCACGAGGUGCCGGGCACUUGCAUCAUGGCUCAGGAGACAGGUCAGACCAGGAACUUUGGGGUCUGACGGUGCUGCUGCUGGGAGGGGCGCUCGGGAGGGAUUCCCUAGGGUCUCACUGGGCCUCUGUGGGGGCAGCUGACACAGCGAUGCAGGGGGGAAGGAGGUCAGGCACAGGAGGAGCAUGUGCAAGACUGAAACAAAGCAGGGGGCGGGGGAAGGCCGGGCAGGACUCGGCGUUUUAGUUCAUCAGGAAACCUCGGGACAGAAACAAGGGAGGGCAUCUGGUACCACACGUCACGUGUCCGCUCUCCCUGGGGACUGCAGGGCGGCUCUGACAUGGCGUGUUGGCUGCGGAAACAGCAGUAUUGUCCCCCGAAGUCCCAGGUGGGGGGUGCUCCUUCUGGUCCUGUAUGCGGGCGGCUGUUCCUCGCGCUCACGGGGCCUUCUGCGGGCUCCUUUCCCAGUAGCGCCCGCUGCGCUCGGGUCCCUCAGGGAGUGGUGGUGCUGGCUGUGACGUGCUGUGCACAGGAGCAUGACAUCUGCACCUCUCUCUUCAGACCUGCACCCCACAGACAGCGCUCGGGAAGAGAGUCCCUCCGCGGGUGCAGGCACGAGACUGGAGUGGCGCCUGGGCGGGGAGUCCUCAGCGGGAGGAGCCGCACACCUGGGCCCCAGGAGCUGGCUUCCGGGGAAGGCUCCGGCGGAUGUGCAGGAGGCGGGAUGUCACACUGACCCUUCCCGGGGAGCCUGCGGGGGCCCGAGACCAGCACGCAGCCUCUCGGCCUCGGCGGCGAGGGACACUGUGCACCGCCGUCUCUGCGUGAGAAGUGCGAGGCCGUCCACACGAGGGAGCUUCCAGGGGCUUCCAAACGCCCGCCAAGGCCUGCAGCCGGAGCCCGUGGAAUGUUGACGCUCGGGACCCAAAAGGGAGCUCGGCGUUCAUGAGCCCAGGAUUCGCGCGGGCGUGCGUGUCGCUGCAUCGUCGGUAGAGACCGAGGGGACACUAUGCAGGAAGAAGCCUUCCUCAGGAAGGCAGGCAGGGCAGAGCUUAGGCCCACCUUGAACCCCCCGAGCAGAGCGAGCCUGAGAUAAGCCGCCAGCAUGGCCAAGUGCGAGGCUCAGCGACCUCGCGCCCUGUAACUGUAGUAGCCGCAGGAACUUUCUCCUCUGCGCCACGAUACCAAAUAGGAAACAUGAUCUACAAGUG
This is a long non-coding RNA of Myotis brandtii (Brandt's bat), 1589 nucleotides long. RefSeq lists it as uncharacterized. The record is from RefSeq and is a predicted model, not a curated record. The transcript is spliced from 2 exons. Lineage: Eukaryota; Metazoa; Chordata; Mammalia; Chiroptera; Vespertilionidae.